GAUGAACGCUGGCGGCGUGCCUAAUACAUGCAAGUCGAGCGAACAGACGAGGAGCUUGCUCCUCUGACGUUAGCGGCGGACGGGUGAGUAACACGUGGAUAACCUACCUAUAAGACUGGGAUAACUUCGGGAAACCGGAGCUAAUACCGGAUAAUAUAUUGAACCGCAUGGUUCAAUAGUGAAAGACGGUUUUGCUGUCACUUAUAGAUGGAUCCGCGCCGCAUUAGCUAGUUGGUAAGGUAACGGCUUACCAAGGCAACGAUGCGUAGCCGACCUGAGAGGGUGAUCGGCCACACUGGAACUGAGACACGGUCCAGACUCCUACGGGAGGCAGCAGUAGGGAAUCUUCCGCCAUGGGCGAAAGCCUGACGGAGCAACGCCGCGUGAGUGAUGAAGGUCUUCGGAUCGUAAAACUCUGUUAUUAGGGAAGAACAAAUGUGUAAGUAACUAUGCACGUCUUGACGGUACCUAAUCAGAAAGCCACGGCUAACUACGUG
Molecule: ribosomal RNA, 497 nt
Filed under: uncultured bacterium
Lineage: Bacteria
Description: partial 16S ribosomal RNA
Rfam family: Bacterial small subunit ribosomal RNA
Source: RNAcentral